Molecule: ribosomal RNA, 253 nt
Filed under: uncultured prokaryote
Description: partial 16S ribosomal RNA
Rfam family: Bacterial small subunit ribosomal RNA
Source: RNAcentral
UACAGAGGUCCCAAGCGUUGUUCGGAUUCACUGGGCGUAAAGGGUGCGUAGGCGGUCGGGUAAGUCUGAUGUGAAAUCUCACAGCUUAACUGUGAAACUGCAUUGGAUACUAUCCGGCUAGAGGAAUGGAGGGGAGACUGGAAUACUUGGUGUAGCAGUGAAAUGCGUAGAUAUCAGGAAGAACACCAACGGCGAAGGCAGCUCGCUGGGACGGUACUGACGCUGAGACGCGAAAGCGUGGGGAGCGAACAGG